Molecule: ribosomal RNA, 301 nt
Filed under: uncultured bacterium
Lineage: Bacteria
Description: partial 16S ribosomal RNA
Rfam family: Bacterial small subunit ribosomal RNA
Source: RNAcentral
CAGUCGCCGCGGGAAAACAGAGGAUGCAAGCGUUAUCCGGAAUGAUUGGGCGUAAAGGGCUCGCAGGCGGUUUCUUAAGUCUGAUGUGAAAGCCCCCGGCUCAACCGGGGAGGGUCAUUGGAAACUGGGAAACUUGAGCGCAGAAGAGGAGAGUGGAAUUCCACGUGUAGCGGUGAAAUGCGUAGAGAUGUGGAGGAACACCAGUGGCGAAGGCGACUCUCUGGUCUGUAACUGACGCUGAGGAGCGAAAGCGUGGGGAGCGAACAGGAUUAGAUACCCCUGUAGUCCCUGUCUCUUAUAC